UGGGGAAUUUUGCACAAUGGAGGAAACUCUGAUGCAGCGACGCCGCGUGAGUGAUGAAGAUCUUCGGAUUGUAAAACUCUGUCCUUAGUGAAGAUAAUGACAGUAACUAAGAAGCAAGCUCUGGCUAAAUACGUGCCAGCAGCCGCGGUAAUACGUAUGGGGCAAGCGUUGUCCGGAAUUAUUGGGCGUAAAGUGUACGUAGGCGGUUUAAUAAGUCCUAAUUAAAAGGCUAUGGCUCAACCAUAGUAUGGUUAGGAAACUGUUGAACUUGAGUAGAUGAGGGGAAAGUGGAAUUCCAUGUGGAGCGGUGAAAUGCGUAGAUAUAUGGAGGAACACCAAUGGGGGAGGCAACUUUCUGGAAUCAAACUGACGCUUAGGUACGAAGGGGUGGGGAGCAAACAGG
This 403-nucleotide ribosomal RNA is filed under the name Fusobacteriota bacterium. Its description in RNAcentral is "Fusobacteria bacterium partial 16S ribosomal RNA". It matches the Rfam family "Bacterial small subunit ribosomal RNA", at positions 355 to 776 of the family's 1533-position model. Lineage: Bacteria; Fusobacteriati; Fusobacteriota. The record is from RNAcentral.